RNAcentral lists this long non-coding RNA (368 nucleotides) under Amborella trichopoda. RNAcentral describes it as "long non-coding RNA (ATRI_LNC004434)". The record is from RNAcentral. Lineage: Eukaryota; Viridiplantae; Streptophyta; Magnoliopsida; Amborellales; Amborellaceae.
GCUCUCAUACGGAUUAUUGGCAAUGCCGGCUUGAAGGCGAGGAAACCCAAAUCUGCUAGAAUGUUUAGAAAAUAUUUUUCAAUGAAAAAAAUGGAGGUUUAGAAAAGGAUUUGGAAAUAAAUCAGAAAUAAAAUGGGAAUAAGGAAAGAAAACUAACCUCAUGCCCCUAGGCACGGCACCCGGAGUCGGUGGCCAGUUUAGAAUCGUACUUGGUACGCCGUAUUUUCUCAAUUUUCAAAGUCCGUCAAGUAGAAGUGAUCAGUAUCAGGUGGAAUAGGGCACGAGAGUAUUGGGAAUAUGAUUUACGGAUGUCCGGCAUAUAUCUCUGGCUUAGGUUUUUCAAGAUUCAAGGGCGGAGUGUCGAGUGG